This 91-nucleotide transfer RNA is filed under the name Clostridia bacterium. RNAcentral's name for it is "tRNA-Ser". It matches the Rfam family "tRNA". Rfam says of the family: Transfer RNA (tRNA) molecules are approximately 80 nucleotides in length. Their secondary structure includes four short double-helical elements and three loops (D, anti-codon, and T loops). Lineage: Bacteria; Bacillati; Bacillota; Clostridia. The record is from RNAcentral.
GGAGAGAUGUCAGAGCGGUCGAAUGUGCUCGCUUGGAAAGCGGGUAGACCCUAACCGGGUCUCGCAGGUUCAAAUCCUGUUCUCUCCGCCA